AAAACAAAAAUUUUAACAUAAUACUCUUAUAACAAAUUUCAACAUAGCAAUAAAUAUGAUUUAGUUUUAGUUUUUCUUAAUAAAGAAAACGUAAGUCUAUAACUUACUUAACAAUAAAUUCUAUUUUAAUUUAAAAAUUAGAAUAUAAUAAAAUUAUGCUAAUGAGAAAAUAAGCAUGACAUAAAGAAAUAGAUAAUACGAAAAAAUUACAUAGAAUCAUGUAAAGUAAGGUUGAGAAUAAGAAGAAAAUGAAAUAUAAUAAUAAAAAAUAAAAAAUAAACUUUUACAAAUUUUUAGAAUAAUAAAAUUAAAAAAAGAACUUAAAAUAAUAGAAGUAAAAAAAAUUAAAACAAAAAAAUUAAAAUAGAAAU
Molecule: long non-coding RNA, 371 nt
Filed under: Solanum tuberosum (potato)
Lineage: Eukaryota; Viridiplantae; Streptophyta; Magnoliopsida; Solanales; Solanaceae
Description: long non-coding RNA (STUB_LNC005939)
Source: RNAcentral